Molecule: ribosomal RNA, 60 nt
Filed under: Elsinoe fawcettii (citrus scab fungus)
Lineage: Eukaryota; Fungi; Ascomycota; Dothideomycetes; Myriangiales; Elsinoaceae
Description: partial 28S ribosomal RNA
Source: RNAcentral
UUGACCUCGGAUCAGGUAGGAAUACCCGCUGAACUUAAGCAUAUCAAUAAGCCCGAGAAA